This is a long non-coding RNA of Strigops habroptila (Kakapo), 2071 nucleotides long. The record is from Ensembl. NCBI's taxonomy places the organism in Eukaryota, Metazoa, Chordata, Aves, Psittaciformes, Psittacidae.
ACAAGGGUAUUGUAUAUUUUAUUAUGUUUGUAACAGAAACAAAAUCAAAACCAAAAGCAGGUGAUAAAAUAAUGAGUUGAAUUUGUAGUGCUAAAGUCUCAGCCAGACUGAUGGAUUUGAUUCAUGGCUGUUCAUAGCUACUUCAUACAAGAGACUUUCAUUUCUCUCCGUAGGUAGGCCAGUAUUUUCAGCCUGCUGAAACCAAAACUUGUCACGCUGUGGAGUUAACUGAGAAUAAGAAACAUUCCUGUAGCCCAGAUCAAAACAGAACCAACUCGUUAAACUAACUUUAACGGCAGCACAAGCUCACCUGUUGGACUCAGUACAGAUAUAGGUAUUGAUCUCAUCCACCGCUAUGCUUCUGCUGAAGGCAAGUCACCUCCUGGAAAGGCAGAGCAGGGAUAGAUGGCAGCAACUUCUUAGACUAUAUCUGCAAGCUGGCUCAUUAGAGCUGGAUGUCAGGGAGGUCUGAUGUAAUGGGUCAUGUCUAACCGUAGGCUGCUUUCUGAAGACGUUUUUAAGGACAAAUCAACUGCAAUAAGAGAAUGCUGACAUUCAGGCUGCCUCAGCUGCCGAUGACAGAGAAGGUGUUAGUGGCACUUGGGUUUUAUUCCAGACCUGUCCUCCUAUAAACAAUUACAAGGGAUGAAAUCAUUUUUGGAAAGAUGAGCGAUUAUUUCCCUGUCAGCUCUGCCCUGUCAGCAUCAAGGAGAGUGUGAUAUAUACCUGCUCUGCUCUUCUCCACUUCCUGGCCCCAAAUCAUUCUCGGUGUGGACACAGAGUGAUGCUUCUGGAAAGGAACAAUAAAGAAUUAUUCAAAUGUAUAUAGAACAUGGGGGAAAGGAGAAAGCAAAUGAACACAUGAAGUCAUUCUCCUAAUGUCAUCAGUCUAGAUAGGAAUAUUUUCUUGUACCUGUUUCAUGAAAUACACUCUUCAUACCAUUAAAACUUUAUCAUCUGUUCUUUAAAGGAGUUAAUCCUAUAACAGAAAUCUCUGUUCUAAACGUUAGGAUAUUGUAUAAAUAUACGCUUCUGAAUUAGCCUCCCUUCUCAUUCAAGAUCUCACUACAUUAGGUUAAAAAUACUUUAAAAUUAGUGUGCUUUUUCUUGUUGUUUGUUUCUGAGCCCUCAGUGUAAAGUCAGAACUCUUUGGGUUUUUUCUCUCCCUCCUUGGGGGUUAUUUGUUUUGUGAAUGCUGAGAUGUGUAAGUACACACAAAUCUGGAAAGCUUUACAAAAUACCACAUAUCAAGAGAAUCAUAGAAUUGGGCUGGAAAGGACCUUAAGAUCAUCCAGUUCCAACCCCCUGCCGUGGGCAGGGACACCUCACACUAGACCAUGUCGCCCAAGGCUCUGUCCAACCUGGCCUUGAACACUGUCAGGGAUGGUGCAUUUACCACUUCUCUGGGCAACCAAACUGGUAUCACGACUGGAGUAGGGGAAAGCAUCAGGUUUUAAUGCAAAACCUGUAAGAAAUGAAAGAGACUUAACAGAUGAAAGAGCAGGGUAAUGAGAGCAUUUGGUUCUCUGACAGAAGGCCCUACAGGAGGAACACCAAGGUGCUCUCCAGAGCACCCACACAGAGGACUGGAAAACUGACCUAUUUACCCUUUUUUCAUUGGGACCAGCAAGAAUAUUCCUGCAAGGAUAAUCAGCCCCUUAUCCAUUAGCCUUACUUAUUGUUGCUGUUAUUCUUGCUAUAACCUACUUAAUACAGUGACAUCACUACAGUUCAGGAAUUAAAAUGUUGAUGCCUUCUCCCCAUAGUUGGCCUUGGAAACUGGUCUGACUCCCUUGGAGACUGGUCUGAAUCCCUGAAAUCUGAAGCCUCUGCUGCUUGAGCUGGGGAAUAGCAUUUAUCUGGCAGCAAGAGGAGACUUUUGUCCUUUCACAUAGCCUGUGAAAAAACACUUAGUACUUCCCACGUACUCAGCAUGGUAAAAUGGAAGUUGUCAAAGAUAAGUCUUUUUUAUUUGCUAUCUGUGGAUAUUCCUGUAAGCUUUUAGUCUUUUUCCAUAUGAGCAAUUCUUCAGAGCAGACGAUCCAGGAAUAUUUCCAUGGACAGCUUGAAA